GAUGAACGCUAGCGGCAGGCCUAAUACAUGCAAGUCGGACGGGAUUUGGGAGCUUGCUUCUGAUGAGAGUGGCGCACGGGUGCGUAACACGUAUGUAACCUACCUUAAUCUGGGGGAUAGCCUCUCGAAAGAGAGAUUAACACCGCAUAACAUUACGACGCAGCAUUGCGAUGUAAUCAAAUAUUUAUAGGAUUAAGAUGGGCAUGCGGAACAUUAGCUAGUUGGUAAGGUAAUGGCUUACCAAGGCUACGAUGUUUAGGGGAUCUGAGAGGAUGGCCCCCCCACACUGGUACUGAGACACGGACCAGACUCCUACGGGAGGCAGCAGUAAGGAAUAUUGGUACAAUGGGACGGAAGCCUGAACCAGCCAUGCCGCGUGCA
Molecule: ribosomal RNA, 381 nt
Filed under: uncultured bacterium
Lineage: Bacteria
Description: bacterial SSU rRNA
Rfam family: Bacterial small subunit ribosomal RNA
Source: RNAcentral